GGUUCCAUAGUGUAGUUGGUCAUCACACAAGACUCUGAAUCUUGAGACCCGAGUUCGAAUCUCGGUGGGACCU
Transfer RNA from Batrachochytrium dendrobatidis JAM81, 73 nucleotides. It matches the Rfam family "tRNA". From Rfam's summary of the family: Transfer RNA (tRNA) molecules are approximately 80 nucleotides in length. Their secondary structure includes four short double-helical elements and three loops (D, anti-codon, and T loops). Lineage: Eukaryota; Fungi; Chytridiomycota; Chytridiomycetes; Rhizophydiales. The record is from Rfam.